AAAGUCGUAACAAGGUUUCCGUAGGUGAACCUGCGGAAGGAUCAUUAACACGAAUUUUAUCCAAUAUCAAAACCAACCGUGAACUUUUCCCCUCCCUGUUUAUCAAACGCUUGGCUUGCUUAACAACAAGUACACAGAUUUGAUCUACAGGCUAACCCUUUUUUAUUAAUUUUAACCCCUAUUAACUCUUUGUUUUACCUUUAUCAAAAGGCCAAAACAACUAACUAAAAAAUUGACUAAGACCCAACAAUUUAUUUGUUGUUUCUUAUUUAUAUUUUUUCUAUUACGAAAUAAUAUUUACUAAAGAACAACUCUUAACAAUGGAUAUCUUGGUUCUC
RNAcentral lists this unclassified non-coding RNA (338 nucleotides) under Ascomycota sp. RNAcentral describes it as "partial contains small subunit ribosomal RNA, internal transcribed spacer 1, and 5.8S ribosomal RNA". The stretch from base 1 to 47 matches the Rfam family "Eukaryotic small subunit ribosomal RNA", at positions 1785 to 1831 of the family's 1831-position model. Lineage: Eukaryota; Fungi; Ascomycota. The record is from RNAcentral.